Molecule: long non-coding RNA, 603 nt
Organism: Neofelis nebulosa (Clouded leopard)
Lineage: Eukaryota; Metazoa; Chordata; Mammalia; Carnivora; Felidae
Exons: 2
Source: RefSeq, a predicted model, not a curated record
GAGGGGGUACCUGACGAGGAUAGAGGUUCUGUCAUGAGAAGGUAAAAACCGCAGGACCAGGGCCAGAGGACCCGCAGACCGAUGGGAGAUAGGGUGGAUGAAACAGCACAGAAAGCCAGGCAUGGCGGGAAAGACUGAGGGACAAGCCGGUACAGAUGCGUGGAAAGACGUGCAGAGGAGAUGAUGGGGGUCUGAUGGCGGGUAUUGCAAGGGCUGAGGACAAAGGUGGAGCCAACUACUAUGGGCACCCAGCGUGGACCACCGUGGGCCCACAGUAUAUAUGUCGGUAUGCAUUUGUUGUCUCGAUGACCAAGCCCUGGGAUUCUGCAGCUGUAAAGAAACCAUAGCAGGGACUUUUCCCAGAAUGUGGACUCCAGCCUCAUGAGGACUCCAGACCCCAGGAUUCCAGCCUCAGCAUCCCAGGCUGAGAGGCCAAUGCUGGGGGCGGGGGUGUUUAGCUCUAGCUCCAGCGAAAGUAGACCCACCAUCCCCUUCUUCCCAUCCCCAGGCAGGAGCUGGCAGGAGAUCAGAUGCUACUUCAAUUCCAAGUGGCUCAUGAACAAAAGCUGUGAAGUUGCUAAGAAACCUGCUUCUCUGAGGGUU